RNAcentral lists this ribosomal RNA (478 nucleotides) under Ectopseudomonas oleovorans. RNAcentral's name for it is "bacterial SSU rRNA". It matches the Rfam family "Bacterial small subunit ribosomal RNA", at positions 8 to 482 of the family's 1533-position model. The record is from RNAcentral. Lineage: Bacteria; Pseudomonadati; Pseudomonadota; Gammaproteobacteria; Pseudomonadales; Pseudomonadaceae.
AGAGUUUGAUCCUGGCUCAGAUUGAACGCUGGCGGCAGGCCUAACACAUGCAAGUCGAGCGGAUGAGAGGAGCUUGCUCCUCGAUUCAGCGGCGGACGGGUGAGUAAUGCCUAGGAAUCUGCCUAGUAGUGGGGGACAACGUUUCGAAAGGAACGCUAAUACCGCAUACGUCCUACGGGAGAAAGUGGGGGAUCUUCGGACCUCACGCUAUUAGAUGAGCCUAGGUCGGAUUAGCUAGUUGGUAGGGUAAAGGCCUACCAAGGCGACGAUCCGUAACUGGUCUGAGAGGAUGAUCAGUCACACUGGAACUGAGACACGGUCCAGACUCCUACGGGAGGCAGCAGUGGGGAAUAUUGGACAAUGGGCGAAAGCCUGAUCCAGCCAUGCCGCGUGUGUGAAGAAGGCCUUCGGGUCGUAAAGCACUUUAAGUUGGGAGGAAGGGCUCAUAGCGAAUACCUGUGAGUUUUGACGUACCAAC